Molecule: RNA transcript, 1603 nt
Organism: Zea mays
Lineage: Eukaryota; Viridiplantae; Streptophyta; Magnoliopsida; Poales; Poaceae
Exons: 3
Source: RefSeq, marked validated
AUAAUAAAACGAAAAAUCCGACAGGACAGGGUUGAAGUUGAAGGCGGCCGGCGGAACCGGACCGGACGACGAACAUGGCGACCUCCUCCUGCUACUGCGUCUCCUCCCACGGCCACGGCCUCUCCCGCGCCGGCCCCGCUCGGCUCCGCAUCGCCCGCCUCCACCUCCACCUAGUCUUCCCCUCCACCCCUUCCCCGAGGCUCUCUUCCCGCCGAAUCCCCGCCUCGCCCGACCCGCCGCUCGACGUCGCCGCCGGAGACGCGACCGGCGAGGUCGACUGGCCCGCGCCUAACGACGACCAGGACCAGGAACAGGAGGACCGCGACGAGGGCAUCGGCUUCCAUAUCCAGGUGUCCAAGGUCGGGAAGCGGAACCGGCGCCUCGUGCGGGCUCGGGUUCGCGUCCACGCGCCGCUCGAGGCCGUGUGGGCCACGCUCACCGACUACGAGGGCCUCGCUGACUUCAUCCCUGGGCUCUCCGAGUGCCGACUCCUGGACCGGCACGAUGGCUUCGCGCGGCUCUACCAGGUCGGGGAGCAGGACCUCGCGCUGGGCUUCAAGUUCAACGCCAAGGGCACCGUAGACUGCUACGAGGGGGACAUUGAGCUGCUGCCCGCCGCCGGGGCGCGCAGGAGGGAGAUCGCCUUCAACAUGAUCGACGGCGAUUUCAAGCUCUUCCAGGGGAAAUGGUCUGUUGAAGAGGUACAUUUCCUUUCCUUCAUUGAUCCUUCCUUCCGUCCUCAUCAGGGACCGACGGACGGAUUGUGUAGUAGUACAUUUUAGAUUAGAGGAGGCUAUAGCUGGGCUCCGUGGAAUCCGAAGCAGCUCGAGCCUCACCCGCCCCACCGUUAGAUCCGUCCUCAUUGGUCGUCGCCAAUAUGUAUACCCUACUGUAGUGUCAUGUGUGGUCCUAGCUAUUCUCCCUUAUUGCUUGCUGCUCCCCGAUCCCCAGCUAUGCAACUGAACCUAUCAAUGGUGCUCUGGUACAGUCUAGUCCUAAAUCAAUCGCAACCGGCAUUGGUUAUUUUGAUCAAUGAGUCUACACGGCUGUCGUGCGUUUUGUCAUUGUUGUUAUAACUGUAGCAUAAUUUUGGUCGCAAAUGUGAGUGCGCCAUUGUUAUUUUGAUCAAAGAGUAUACACCGCUGUCAUGCGUUUUGCAUAGGCUGGUGGGGAGAAUUCUGAGGAGCAGGAAUUGGAGACAACACUGUCUUACGUGGUUGAGCUGGAGCCCAAGCUCUGGGUUCCAGUGAGACUCCUUGAAGGAAGGAUAUGUAGCGAGAUCAAGAACAACCUUGUCUCCAUCAGAGAACAAGCACAUAAUAGGAGGAUCCAGAGAUUACAGCACGAGCUCUAGCAGAAGCAGAGGAUGGAUGUUGACGCCGCAACUGUACGAAGCUCACGUACUACCUUACCUCUCCAAAAAAAAAACAUGUCAACAGCUGAUGGAUGUCCUGAGUUUGUUGCUUGGCAAUCAUCACUAAUUUGCUUGGGGUUGUCAUGUUAACAAGCUUGUACCAAAAUUCUAUCGAUUUUUUUCCCCUUUUAUGUAUUGUGUAUGCAGAUAUAUAUAAUGUAUGUAUGUAUGUAUGUAUGUUCAAGACAA